UACUCUUGCAAGCUAUAUACUUGGCCCUGAUGCAGAGAGUGCCAAAAAUGGGAAACAUGUGGAAGACGUGUUUUUUUCUGUUUUUUCAGCAUUGCUUGAUGCUCUUUUAUUACGUGCUCAGGUUUUCUCUACUUAUCCCCUUUUUUCUUUUUUUAUCUUUUCCACAGGGAUCUGGAUGGGUGGUUUGCAUUAUCUACCAAUAUAAUGUCUCAUUUGCUCUCAAUGAUGGUCUGAUGGAUUUGUGACCUCCAAAACCAGUAGUUUAACGUGUGUAUAUGUUUUUUUGGGAGUAGUGAGCGUAGAAUGAAGUAUUCUCUCCCUAUUAUUCACAAUCAAGACAAUUUUCUAGAGUUGAAUUUCAUUGAAGAAAGCAUACUUAUUAGUUCUGAACAUCUAAAAUCUCAGGUCUGAGAUGGGCAUUAAAGCAGCA
Molecule: unclassified non-coding RNA, 430 nt
Filed under: Hevea brasiliensis (rubber tree)
Lineage: Eukaryota; Viridiplantae; Streptophyta; Magnoliopsida; Malpighiales; Euphorbiaceae
Source: RNAcentral